RNAcentral lists this ribosomal RNA (253 nucleotides) under uncultured bacterium. RNAcentral's name for it is "partial 16S ribosomal RNA". It matches the Rfam family "Bacterial small subunit ribosomal RNA", at positions 524 to 776 of the family's 1533-position model. The record is from RNAcentral.
UACGAAGGUCCCGAGCGUUGUUCGGAUUUACUGGGCGUAAAGCGUCUGUAGGCGGCGCAGCAAGUCAGAUGUGAAAGCCCGGGGCUCAACCCCGGAACUGCAUCCGAUACUGCUGUGCUGGAGGAUCGGAGGGGAGUCUGGAAUUCACGGUGUAGCAGUGAAAUGCGUAGAUAUCGUGAGGAACACUAGUGGCGAAGGCGAGACUCUGGACGAUUCCUGACGCUGAGAGACGAAGGCCAGGGGAGCAAAAAGG